This 357-nucleotide ribosomal RNA is filed under the name uncultured bacterium. RNAcentral's name for it is "bacterial SSU rRNA". It matches the Rfam family "Bacterial small subunit ribosomal RNA", at positions 140 to 507 of the family's 1533-position model. The record is from RNAcentral.
GGGAUAACUUCGAAGGAAACGUGGGGCUAAGUACCGGAUAGGAGCUCCUGCUGCAUGGUGGGGGUUGGAAAGUUUCGGCGGUUGGGGAUGGACUCGCGGCUUAUCAGCUUGUUGGUGGGGUAGUGGCUCACCAAGGCUUUGACGGGUAGCCGGCCUGAGAGGGUGACCGGCCACAUUGGGACUGAGAUACGGCCCAGACUCCUACGGGAGGCAGCAGUGGGGAAUAUUGCACAAUGGGCGGAAGCCUGAUGCAGCAACGCCGCGUGCGGGAUGACGGCCUUCGGGUUGUAAACCGCUUUCGCCUGUGACGAAGCGUGAGUGACGGUAAUGGGUAAAGAAGCACCGGCUAACUACGUG